AAGAGUUUAGGUUAGUCAUUAGACCAAGGGCCUUCAAAGCCCUAAGCGGGUGUGAAAACCCCCCAUCUCUUA
This 72-nucleotide transfer RNA is filed under the name Entomacrodus strasburgi (Strasburg's blenny). RNAcentral describes it as "tRNA-Trp". It matches the Rfam family "tRNA". Rfam says of the family: Transfer RNA (tRNA) molecules are approximately 80 nucleotides in length. Their secondary structure includes four short double-helical elements and three loops (D, anti-codon, and T loops). The record is from RNAcentral. Lineage: Eukaryota; Metazoa; Chordata; Actinopteri; Blenniiformes; Blenniidae.